RNAcentral lists this ribosomal RNA (492 nucleotides) under uncultured bacterium. Its description in RNAcentral is "partial 16S ribosomal RNA". It matches the Rfam family "Bacterial small subunit ribosomal RNA", at positions 29 to 507 of the family's 1533-position model. The record is from RNAcentral.
AGUGAACGCUGGCGGUAGGCCUAACACAUGCAAGUCGAACGGCAGCACAGUAAGAGCUUGCUCUUACGGUUGGCGAGUGGCGUACGGUUGAGGAAUACAUCGGAAUCUACUUUUUCGUGGGGGUUAACGUAGGGAAACUUACGCUAAUACCGCAUACUACCUACGGUUGAAAUCAGUGGUUCUUCGGACCUUGCCCGUUUGAUUGAUCCGAUUUCGGAUUAGCUAGUUGGCGGGGUAAAGGCCCACCAAGGCGACGAUCCGUAGCUGGUCUGAGAGGAUGAUCAGCCACACUGGAACUGAGACACGGUCCAGACUCCUACGGGAGGCAGCAGUGGGGAAUAUUGGACAAUGGGCGAAAGCCUGAUCCAGCAAUACCGCGUGGGUGAAGAAGGACUUCGGGUUGUAAAGCCCUUUUGUUGGGAAAGAAAAGAAGCAGGUUAAUACCCCGAUGUUCUGACGGUACCCAAAGAGUAAGCACCGGCUAACUUCGUG